UUGCCUCAUACCUAAUCUCUUGCCCUAAAUUCUUUGCCUCUCACGUUUCAGCGCUUGCUCUCCGUCUAUACUCUAGUGGUUCCUUGACGUCAGUGGUGGUGCCUUGCUCUCUUAGCACCUGAUUGACGACGCCUCUUGGAGUUCAAGACACCUGUUUCGACCCUCCCUCAGGAACAAACAAGUAGCAAGUGAAGCCAAGCAGAGUAUAUGUGUUUGUCAGUUUGUGUUAUAUUAUAGGAUCCAGAUUGAAUUAGUGAUUUCAUCCUUUGAGGGACCUACUGAAAUUUCUCAUGGUUGUGUUUGAAGAAUGGGGACCCUUCUCGAAUUUCUUGUAUCCUUUUUUUUAAAUGUUUUUAGGAGUAUUUGUAUCAAGUAUUGAACGAAUAACUUUAGUUUUUUUAUGAUUGUGACAGUUUCAAUUGAACCUUAUAUUUGGUUUGAAUCAAUACUCAAUAGUUUGAAUCACUAAGAUAUAUUUUUUCUGCAUCUGGUUUUAAUUUCUAUUUUUCUAAUCGAAAUGUUGCUCUUGCUUCAAAUAUGUGGCGUUAGAUUCUAGAUCUUUUUGUCACUGUAGUGAGAUUUGUCUUUCUAGAUUUGUACUUUGACUCUUGCAGUACUUUCAUAAAUUCAAUUGGUGCUCUCCUUAUUUUCUAAUCCUCUACUUUCUUUUAAAAAUUUAAAAUGAAAGUAGUGAUGAUCAACACUCCCACAAUGGUGGCUUCUUCAAUGAUUCCAUCACUUCCCCCACCCUCUCCCAAGGCAUAACUGGGGUGCCCUGAUUUGCAUGGGAAAAAGGCGUUAAAUGGGCAGAAUUUAGAUGCUGGAACGAGAGAUAAGUUUUCCUAAGGUUGUGCACUGUGGAUUCCUUCCAACCUUUUCCUUAGGAUGGCAUAUUAAUCUCUUGCCAUUCUGUUUGGAACCAGCUCUUAUAUCUCUGGAAUACAUUUAUGAAAUUCCACAGAUGUUUAUUUGUUUCUUCAUAUAUGGAGCUUUUCAAUGAAGUCUGCGUGAUGUAAACAUGAGGCCAGCAGAGGAGAGCACGCUAUGAGACUAUCCUGAGUUCUUCCAUGUGUGUAAGAUAAUUUGAUCCUUUAAGUUUUUUAAUCACUCAAUCUUUGGGUAGGAGAUAUGGUGGCAAUGUGACUCAUUGUAGUUCCCCUAUAUGUUUCUUUUGGUUUUUUUGCUCAAUUGAUUGUGUUUAUCUAUUCAUCAUGAACACAACAAGCAUAGUAGCAUACUACUGAUCCACAUCUUCACUUUUUGUAAGAUAUUUAUGUGUUUGAGACAACUAAAAGCAGAUAAAUUGUGACUUCUAAGUUUGUUCAUGGAAAGCGUUUAUUGUUAUGUGUGCAUUUUGAUAUUCAUUUAUACUGCACCUUGAUUGCAAUGACCCAAAUUAGUUUUUCAAAUGAAUAUCUAAGUUGCGACAGAAUUUCUGUCCCCAACAAGCAGCAGAUUUUUUUUUUCAAAUCUUCACAGCUCAGUGACGGAAUAUAUCCCUCGCAAAUAUCGGGACAGACUAUGUUUUUUUGAAUUCCGUCACAAAAAGUUAUUAUUUCUGUCACCAAUUCUGUCACACCACUACCAUCUUAAAAAAUAAACUUAUUAUGUUCCGUUUCAACCCUGCGACGGAAAUAUAUAUUUCGUCACAAAAAAUUUAUUCAUUCCGUCCCAAAAAUAACUAUUCAAUUCGUCGCAAAUAUCGUCACGAUACUUCAUGAUAGUCUGUCGCCAUGUUCGUCGCCCAUGUGCGACGGAACAUUAGAUUUCGUCCCAAAGUUUUUGCGACGAGCGAUAUUGUGACGCAAUUUAUCGCGUCACAAUUCCGUCCCAAAAUAUUUUAGGGACGGAAUUUUUAACUGUUGUGCGACGGAUUUGUCCGUCCCAAAUUAGUGUUUUUGUAGUAGUUAAAGGGUAAUGGUGGCUAUGGAGGUAGCAACAAUGGUGGUAGUGGUUGGAGAGGAGGAGAAUAGUAGCGACAAUGUCAGUGACGGAGGUCGCGAAGGCAGUGGAGGGUUUCGGUAGCGCCGAGGGUGCAUGGUUGUAGUGGUGAUGGUGGCAGCGGUGGUAAAAAGCGAUUGUGGAGGGUUGUGUGGUGGUGAUGUUACAUAAACAAGUGGUUGACGUAACAGUUCAACAUUUCGUCCCUUAAGCAAGUGAUUGGGAGUUCGAUUUCCAACUCUUGCGAAUGAAAAAACUCGUUGGUCAGCUUCUUAGCUCUUAGUGUACUAACAGUGAGGCGAGAAAUUAAUUUCACAACUAUCGGCGGUGAGAAUAAAUGAGACAUGUUAACUGUGGGCCCAUAAAGGAUGGUCGGUAAGGUUGUAAUUUAUAUGACUCAGGCCCACGCAACACUGACAAAACUACAAGGCGACAAAGAAAAACCACCCCAGGAUUCAUCGAUCGAUCGAUUGAGAAAACUGACAACUCAACAAAACCAGGUACGCUAAUCUCUCUGGUCUCUGUCUUUCCCCCUCCCACGCUAGCAAAUGGUAGCAUUGAUUUCGCGACUUCAUCAAUUUGUCGAUAUCAAUUUUUCUAUGAUCUUCGUGAAGCUUCAAUUUCUUCGAUUCAGUUCUAAGAUCUGCACAUACAUCCAUAUAAAUUGAAUGUCAACUCGAUUCAAACAUCAUCUUAGAAUUUUCACUUGAUAGUUCUCACAUAACGACCGCAUAGCGGAGUGGAUAUCGCGUUAGACUCCGAAUCUAAAGGUCGUGGGUUCGAUUCCCACUGCGGUCAAUUUACUUUUUGUUCAGUGCUCUUUUGAUAUAUCUUUUUUUAUCUGCAUUUCAUUUGUUCCCAAUAAUUCUGAGAUCAUUUAUCAUAGCUGGAUUUGCAUCGUUCUAUGAAAGGAGGACCAGUAUUUGCACUUUUUAAGUAAAAUUAUGGCUGACAAAUAUGGUUGAUGCUGCCCUAGUUCAUGUUUGGUUCCUCAUUUGCGAGUGUUGGUAUUGAUUAUUCACUAUCAAAAUCAGCUUUUAGGUGUUUAGAUGUGGACUUUCAUAAUUGAUCAUAGCUUCAAAUUUAAUAAUGGGAUUUAGUCACUACAAAUAAUAGGUUAUACUUAUGCAGGCAUGCAGCGGACAUAAUCAAUUGUGAGAUUGGACACAUAAAUCACUUUUCUCACAAAUGCAUCCAAAGUUCAAACAUAAGUCACUUAACUUUCAGCUCACUUUUAUCACACUUAAUUUCACCAAAUUAAUUUUAUCCAGAAUCAAUUAUGACAACGCUGCUGUAAACUUACUAAAUAGUUAUGAAUUGUGCUAGAAAACAGUAUUCAUGAUAAAAUACUUUCCCAUUCUGAACCUCAUACAAUGAAUGAGAGCCAUAUAUAUUACAUUUAGACAUUUUGGAUCUUGCUUUUAUUUGUGUGAAGUUCCUCU
Molecule: long non-coding RNA, 3383 nt
Organism: Lotus japonicus
Lineage: Eukaryota; Viridiplantae; Streptophyta; Magnoliopsida; Fabales; Fabaceae
Exons: 5
Source: RefSeq, a predicted model, not a curated record